AGAAGAAGAAGAGAAGUUGAGGGAGAAGAGAAGAAAAGAAGAAGAAGAGGGAAAAGAAGAGAGGAGGAAGAAGAGGGAGAAGAGAAGAAAAGAAGAAGAAGAAGAAGAAGAAGAGAGGGAAGAUGGAGAGGAGAGAGAGAGAGGCAACAGCUACAGCUAGGGUUGCAGCACCUCUGUUUCCCGCAGGUGGAAACAGAGGAGAGGAUGUGUGGGGCGUUGGGGAAGAGAAGGGAAGAGGAAGAAGAAGAAGAAGAAGAAGAGAGGAGGAUAGCUGUGGCAAGGCUGCAGCGAGGAGGUGUGUGGCGUUGGGGAGGAAAAGGGAAUAGGAGAAGAAGAGAAGGAGAAGAAGAGGGAAAAGAGAGGGAAGAGGGAGAGGAGCGAGAGGUGGCAGCAGCUAGGGCUGCAGCACCUCUGUUUCCUGCAGGUGGAAACAGAGGAGAGGUGUGGGGCGUUCGAAGAGGAGAAGAAGAAGAAGAGGAAGAGAAGAGGAAGAGGAAGCAGGAGAAGAGGUUGUGAUACCUCUAUUUCCUGCAGAGGAAACAGAGAAGAGGGAGUGUGUGACGCCACGGAGGAGGAGGGAAGAAGAAGAG
Molecule: long non-coding RNA, 590 nt
Filed under: Musa acuminata (dwarf banana)
Lineage: Eukaryota; Viridiplantae; Streptophyta; Magnoliopsida; Zingiberales; Musaceae
Description: long non-coding RNA (MACU_LNC011020)
Source: RNAcentral